Long non-coding RNA from Talpa occidentalis (Iberian mole), 1197 nucleotides. RefSeq lists it as uncharacterized. Lineage: Eukaryota; Metazoa; Chordata; Mammalia; Eulipotyphla; Talpidae. The record is from RefSeq and is a predicted model, not a curated record. The transcript has 3 exons.
AUGCGGGGUGCAAGGGGAGCGCUCCAGGGCGUGAAGCACCGUCUCCUGCGCCGUCAAAGGCACGGGUGUGCUUGGAACACGGACACGGACACGACAUCCUGUCCCCGGCAGGUGCGGUCGGCCGCGAGCUGUGUGACGAUUUGGGGGUCACCUGCGUCCCCAAGACAUGGCCACGGGUGUGGCAGGCCUCAGGGAUGUCCUGCUCUUUGCUUCGGUGAUUGUCCUCUUGCCCCAGGGUAUGCUCGCCGGGCGAGCCCCCUUUCACGCCGGUAAUUAGACGCUUUUCUGCCGCUUGCUGCAAGGAGCAGCAGGUGCAUUUCCGGAGCGGAGGACCCUGUGUCGUGGCAGGAGCCCAAGGCCGUCCUUUAAGCGGCUGUGGGGUGUAUUUUGAAAUCUCCAGAUUCCACAAGAGGAUUGAUGCCCCAAGGGGGAACGUCCAGGGCUGCACAUCGUUUUUCGCAGCCAACCUGCGCUGCUAAGAUGCUGACGGAUUUGAGACGUUCCCUGUUCCCUUCCCUGAGCGGGGAGGGGCACCCUGGUGCCCGGUGCGUGUCUGGGACUCACCCCUCAGGGUUUUCUGGUUCUGCCAAGCGGCCUGCCGGGUCCUGAGUGUGGAAACACCACACAGCACUGGCCGCAGCUGGGCCCAUGUGACUCAGCCCCGGUCGCCCGACGCCCGCAGAGCCAUCACACCCACCAGCAGGGAGAGAGAUUCACGGAGAGAGUGGCCGCUCCGCCCCGGGCUGGCUCUUCAGAAGCUCCACCGAGGGAAUCGUCAGUCAACUUUCUUCCCCUGGAAUGAGAAUGUCAUGAGUGCGCGAUGCGGUGAUUCACAGAGGCCUCUAAAUGAGGGUGCUUUGGCAGAAACACCCUAUACGUGAUGGAAUACUACUCGGCGAUGAACAAGCCGCAGGCAUGAUUUAGCAGCGCGUUGGCAAAGCUCCGUGACUCCGCCAGAGGCCUGGAGUGGGGCAGGGACCGCUGUUUAUCCUGAAUUUCAUAUCUUGAUGGAGCAUCGCUCCGAUUCUGGGGAAUUUGGAUGUUGCACUUAACUCCUCUUGGCUUCCACCCCACCCGCUCUGGAAUGGAGAGAUGGAUCUGCUGGACACUCACGAUGAAGGGUCAGAGAGAGCGGGGGCAUGAGAAGGACGCACACGGGGCGGAAUGCAUCAGCAAUGGAAGGGGUUGUCUUCACUG